Molecule: RNA transcript, 2394 nt
Organism: Cucumis melo (muskmelon)
Lineage: Eukaryota; Viridiplantae; Streptophyta; Magnoliopsida; Cucurbitales; Cucurbitaceae
Exons: 5
Source: RefSeq, a predicted model, not a curated record
UUGUAUUUAUUGAAAUGGUUGUUAGCUUAUUGUUUAUUCAAUUUAACGUAUAAACUUUAUCAGUUGAUUAUCUUGCUCCCGAUUUCAAAAGUAAUUAGGUCGGGGAAAAGAGAAAAAAGGGUUGCGAUUACUUGGAAAGGGAAGUGAAUGAAAUCACCUUAGCUUAGUUGCAGUCAUGGGUGCAUGUGUACAAAUGCACAUGCAUGUUUUCUUCUCCUGUAGUUGUGCUAUGGUUGAAUGUUACUUUAUUAUCUUUGAGGUUAUUUAUCUUUUGAAAAAAGAUGGAAAAAGCAAAAAAGUAAGGAUGGCUGAUCCCCUUUUUUCUACCGCAUCAGAGCCAAUAUUUCCAAUAUCAUCCUUGCUCAUAAAGUAACCAUUUUUUCCCUUUCUUUUAUCAAUAAUCUAUUUCUCUCUUUUGUAUUGCAGCCGUAAGCAUUUGCAACUUGGUCAUCUGUCUACUUUUUUAACCUUUACCUUCUACCUUUUCCCUCCCCCCUCCUUUCCCUUUUUUCUCUUUCUCUUUCACUUUGCAUGUUUCGCUCUUAAACCCUUUCCUUUUACACCAUUUCCCCUGUCUGGUUUUGUGUUUUUAAAAGCAAUACCUAAAUUAAACCGAUCCCAUUAGGAAUCCAGUUGGGUCUCUUCAUUUGUCCCUAGAAGAGAACUAUAUCCUCCCACCAUUAAAAUGGCCCAAGCAGCUUCCAAAUGCUUCUUUUUUUCCAUUAUGUCUCUCCUUGCCAUCUGCUCUUCUGGUAGAUUUGGUGGGUCGCAUUUGGGAGUGGAAGAAAAUACUUCCUUGCAGUUGAAAUGGAAGUUCAUUGAAUUUGGUCGGACUACAAUGCACGACGCCACAACAAAUUUUCCGACAACCCCGGACACCUCCACACCGACGAUCAUCACCGUUCCCUCGACCAACCCUGUCACUAUCACUCCGUCGAGCCCUGCGGCCACACCGGUGUCCAUUCCUUUAACGACACCAUUCACAGUUCCGGCUAACUCUCCGGUGCCGCUCACCAAUCCAGUUGCGCCGCCGGUUACAGUUCCCGGAGCACAGCCCAUAACGAACCCUGUAACGACAUAUCCAGCUCCGUCAGGUGGCGCUCCAGUGUUGACACCCCCCACAAACCCAGUUCCGGUAUCCCCUCCGGCGACAACAAACGCACCGGUAAUUCCAGGACAGAGCUGGUGUGUAGCCAGGUCCGGCGCUUCGGAGAUGGCUCUUCAGUCGGCGUUGGAUUACGCUUGUGGCACUGGAGGGGCUGACUGUUCUCAAAUCCAGCAAGGUGGAAGCUGUUACAACCCAAAUACACUUGAAAACCACGCAUCUUUUGCAUUCAAUAGCUAUUUCCAGAAGAAUCCUUCUUCUACAAGCUGUGACUUUGGAGGAUCUGCCAUGGUUACCAACUCCAAUCCAAGCACUGGCUCUUGCAUUUACCCAUCAUCAUCUUCCUCUGCGACGCCGGCAUCCAUGACGCCGUCGGUUCCAACACAGACACCGACAACAACAGCGCCGAUCACAGUCUCACCAACUACAGUUACAAAUCCAACAACUUCUUCACCCGUGGGGUCCGGCAUGCCAGAAAAUGGAAGUCCUCCUGGUGCAUUUAACACAGACAAUCCAGCUUCGAGCAUAGGCAGCACAACAGGGUUUGGAACUGAGAUCCCUCCAAGCUCAAGCACUUCAAUAUCCAUAGCGGCUGGAUUGAGACCCUUUACUUGCUUCAUCAUUCUCACCAUGUCCUUCAUCACUCACAGAAUAAUCACUCUGGACUGAUGAUGAAAUGAAAUCACCGACUUCUCCUUCUACUGUACAUGAAAAGGCCCUCGUUAUUCAUAGCUUCAGAAUCGUCGCCCAGUUCCACCAUUAGUGCAAUUUUUGGAGGAGAAAAAGGAACCAGAGUAAACAACAAGAGUACUUGGAACUUGGAAGGAAGAUUAGAAAGACCGAAGACUUGAGCAUUAAGCAUCAAUGUGAGUACACUUAAAUUAAAUCUUAGACUAAAGUUGAGGAACAAUCUUGGGACAAAAUAGUCCGAAUGCUGAUGUGAGAUCUACUCAUUUGCGGUGCCUAACUUGCAAAAAGAAUGUUACACACAGAAAACUAUGGUGAUAGGAAUGAAAUGAGGUGGAAAGAUCUCUACUUAUCAUUAAAGAAACAUUUAAAAGCUCUCUGGAUUUUUAUAAUCCAUUUAGAAACAAUUCCAAAUAUUGCAAUCAAACUCAAAUUAUUUGUAGCUAUGGCAUAAUGAUAAUGAUAAAGAAUUUGCAUACAUCAUAAAAUUAAAUUUAGUCCUCGAAAUCUACUAAAGAUAGAUCAUAGUAUUGGUAGGAGUUUAUCGAGACUUAUCACUAAUAAAUUUUGCUAUAUUAAAAUUUAUUGUUAUUUCAUUAUUA